Molecule: ribosomal RNA, 438 nt
Filed under: uncultured bacterium
Lineage: Bacteria
Description: bacterial SSU rRNA
Rfam family: Bacterial small subunit ribosomal RNA
Source: RNAcentral
UACGGGAGGCAGCAGUGGGGAAUAUUGCACAAUGGGCGCAAGCCUGAUGCAGCCAUGCCGCGUGUAUGAAGAAGGCCUUCGGGUUGUAAAGUACUUUCAGUCGUGAGGAAGGUGUUAAGGUUAAUAACCUUAGCAAUUGACGUUAGCGACAGAAGAAGCACCGGCUAACUCCGUGCCAGCAGCCGCGGUAAUACGGAGGGUGCGAGCGUUAAUCGGAAUUACUGGGCGUAAAGGGCACGCAGGCGGUUAAUUAAGUUGGAUGUGAAAUCCCCGGGCUUAACCUGGGAAUGGCAUUCAAGACUGGUUAGCUAGAGUCUUGUAGAGGGGGUUAGAAUUCCAUGUGUAGCGGUGAAAUGCGUAGAGAUGUGGAGGAAUACCGGUGGCGAAGGCGGCCCCUGGACAAAGACUGACGCUCAUGUGCGAAAGCGUGGGGAGCAA